UACGUAGGGUGCAAGCGUUAUCCGGAAUUAUUGGGCGUAAAGAGCUCGUAGGCGGUUUGUCGCGUCUGCUGUGAAAACCCGAGGCUCAACCUCGGGCCUGCAGUGGGUACGGGCAGACUAGAGUGCGGUAGGGGAGAUUGGAAUUCCUGGUGUAGCGGUGGGAUGCGCAGAUAUCAGGAGGAACACCGAUGGCGAAGGCAGAUCUCUGGGCCGUAACUGACGCUGAGGAGCGAAAGCAUGGGGAGCGAACAGG
This 253-nucleotide ribosomal RNA is filed under the name uncultured bacterium. Its description in RNAcentral is "partial 16S ribosomal RNA". It matches the Rfam family "Bacterial small subunit ribosomal RNA", at positions 524 to 776 of the family's 1533-position model. The record is from RNAcentral.